This is a long non-coding RNA of Phycodurus eques (leafy seadragon), 2423 nucleotides long. RefSeq lists it as uncharacterized. NCBI's taxonomy places the organism in Eukaryota, Metazoa, Chordata, Actinopteri, Syngnathiformes, Syngnathidae. The transcript is spliced from 16 exons. The record is from RefSeq and is a predicted model, not a curated record.
CAGUGCGUUACGAACAGAACUGCGAAGCAGGCGGUCUUGGUUCGAACCCCCGUGCUGCCAGUUUGCUGUGUUUAAGUCAAUGUAUUUAACUGUUUGCUUUUUCAAUGGAACACACAUUUUUUCUACUUUCCUGUGAUAUAUUUUUUUUUCCAAUUAUUGCGUCAUCACCGUCAACCUAUUUAAGUCGGGCCAAAUGCGACACUCGUUCUCUUUUGCCAGCGACCCGUCACCGGCGUUUCCACAAGAUCGUCCAAAACUUUGACAAGGGUGCUAACAUCUUGCUAGCAUGCUAGCUAAAACCUUUGAGCUUUCGGAGGCAUUUAACGUCUCCUGCGAGCUUAAACUACACCAAAACGCAUUUAUCUGGGGUAUAUGCUGAUAAAUGAAUGCACACAUGCCGUUUUUCAGGAGGUUUGAAUCUUCAACCGAAUGGCCAAAUUGAGUGAAUUCCUGUUUCUCUACACCGCAUAUCCUUUAUUAAACAGAAUACAUCAAGUAAUUGUCUUGUGGAUUAAUUCUCAUUUCUGAUUACAGGUUCAAAUCUUCAACUAAAUGGCUGCCUUUUGGGGCAGGCCUCUUGAGACUUUUGUGGGUCUACUGAUAAACCCCUCGCUCCAUUGUCACGUUGCGAAGUCAAACUGGCUCGUGGGGCUGAAUUGGGAAACGUCGAACGCUAACCGUGUUGUCGUGUCUUUCAGGCCGUCGCUGACGAGGCGUCCGGCUGCUCCCUGCUCUCCUCACUGGUGAGACAAACUUUCAUACAUGUACAAAAACAAAAGUGACUCAUUUCUUUCAGCACGAGCUGACCAGGCAGCCUCCAGCGAUGUCAUCACAGUUCAGGAAGAAUCUGAUGGACUGAAGGAGGUUCCCCCAAAGUUGCACUCUGAGCUGCGCUGCAGCCAGAUCCUUCAAGUUCUUUACCUUCUCGCUCCUGGACAGUAGCAUGUUCUUGCUGCUCACGUCCACCAGGUGGUGCCGAAGAAUUCCUGGAGAACCUGAUCAUGGAUCAACUGGUGAAGUCGAUCUCUAAGCUUGGGACCUGUUGAAAAGUCAAUGAAUUUUGUUUGUUGUUCCAGGUGGUGGAAACAUGGCGUCACAAUCAACAUGUUGAGCGGUGACAUUGCGCUACAAAUAAACACAGCAAAUUUAAGUUUGACGCGCCCUCACCUGCUUUUUCUUUUCGACUCCACAUGCAGGUCGGCUUCCAGUCCAAGUGCCAUCGGGGACUCGGCCCCCAAGAUCCUGGACAAAGAGAAGAGUUCCAAAUGAAUGUGCAGAAGGGCUCCCGGAGAAGUCUCUGCGCCACCAGUCCACUCUGAAGGCUUCAGUCGUUUGAUAUGAAGACGGUUCUUGUUGCAGUCGUGGUGUUAAAGCUCAAGUGUGAAGUAGAUUUCCAAGCUUGGACCUGUUGGAAAGACGAGACUUGAAGGAAUUUUGUUUUUUGUUCCAGGUGGUGGAAACAUGGCAUCAUGAUCAACUUCUUGUCCAGUGUGUUGAGGUCUGCUUCCAGUCCAAGUGCCGUCGGGGACUCGGCCCCCAAGAUCCUGGACAAAGAGAAGAGUUCCUGAAUGUGCAGAUCUCCUGGAGAAGUCUUGCGCCACCAGUCCACUCAGAAGGCCUGAGUCGUUUGAAUCGAAGACUGUUCUUGUUCAAGCAGAAGGUUCCAGUCUACCUGAGAUGACUUUCCAGCGCUGUCCUUUCUUGAUGAGUUUUGGCUGCAGUCACGACAGCCUCUUGUUUGAAGUCAUUGGGAGCUGAGGAACAAGAUGGCUUUGCACUCGGAGAUGCGCUGCAGCCAGGACCCUCAAGUUCUUUACCUUCUUGGUCCUGGACACUUGCAUGUUCUUCCUGCGCACGUCCACCAGGUGGCGCUGAAGGAUCCCUGGAGAACCUGAUCUUGUGAAGUGGUGGAAACAUGGCAUCAUGGUCAACUUUCUGUCCAACAUGUUGAGAGGUCAGCUUCCAGUCCAAGUGCCAUCGGGGACUCGGCCAGCAAGCUCCUCCACCUGCUGGGCAAAGAGACAAGUUCUACAUGAACGUGCAGAAGGUCUCCCGGAGAAGUCUCUGACCACCAGUCCACUCUGAAGGCUUCAGUCGUUUGAUACGAGGAUGGUUCUUGUUGCAGUAGUAGUGGUCACGCUAAAGGUGGUGGAAACAUGGCCUCAUGAUCAACUUCCUGUCCAGCAUGUUGAGUUGAAGUCGGGUUCCAGUCCAAGUGCCAUCGGGGGACUCGGCCACCAAGAUCCUCCACCUGCUGGGCAAAGAGAAGAGUUCCACAUGAAUGUGCAGAAGGUCUCCCGGAGAAGUCUCUGACCACCAGUCCACUCUGAAGGCUUCAGUCGUUUGAUACGAGGAUGGUUCUUGUUGCAGUAACUCUAAGCUUGGGACCUGUUGGAAAGACAGACUUAAUGACUUUUGUUUGU